Molecule: RNA transcript, 660 nt
Organism: Elephantulus edwardii (Cape elephant shrew)
Lineage: Eukaryota; Metazoa; Chordata; Mammalia; Macroscelidea; Macroscelididae
Gene name: SSU72 RNA polymerase II CTD phosphatase homolog (S. cerevisiae) pseudogene
Exons: 1
Source: RefSeq, a predicted model, not a curated record
AUGCUGUCGUCACCGCUGAGGGUGGGGUGGUGUGCUCGAGUAACCAGAACCAGAGCAGGGAGGCACACAACAUCCUCAGCAAACAAGGAUUCAGUGUGUGUUCCUUUGGGACAGGGAUACACGUGAAACUCCCAGGACCAGAUCGAGACAAGCCUAACAUCUACGAUUUCAAACCACAUAUAAUCUGAUGUACAAUGAUCUUCUUAGGAACGACAAAGAACUCUACACAGAGAAUGGAACCUUACACAUGGUGGACAGGAAUAAGAGAAUCAAGCCUCAGCCAGAGAGGUUCCAGAACCACAAAGAUCUGUGUGAUCUGAUCCUCACCUGUGAGGAGCGAGUCUACAACCAAGUCGUGGAAGAUCUGAAUUCCUGGAAACAGGAGACCUGCCAGCCAGUGCAUGUCAUCAACGUGGAUAUCCAGGACAACCACGAGGAGGCCACGCUGGGGGCCUUCCUCAUCUGUGAGCUGUGCCUGUGUAUCCAGCACACGGAGGACAUGGAGACGAGAUUGAUGAGCUGCUACAGGAGUUCAAGGAGAAGAGUGGCCGGGCCUUCCUGCACACGACUGGAGGCCUCAAAGCCAGGCCUUUCUGCAGGGAGUCGGCUUCCACUGACUCGGCUCCAUGGACCCUUGCCACCUCAGAGCUCCCUGUGUGA